This 255-nucleotide ribosomal RNA is filed under the name uncultured bacterium. RNAcentral's name for it is "partial 16S ribosomal RNA". It matches the Rfam family "Bacterial small subunit ribosomal RNA", at positions 524 to 776 of the family's 1533-position model. The record is from RNAcentral.
UACGAAGGGGGCUAGCGUUGCUCGGAAUCACUGGGCGUAAAGCGCACGUAGGCGGAUCUUUUAAGUCAGGGGGUGAAAUCCCAAGGCUCAACCUUGGAACUGCCUUUGAUACUGGGGAUCUCGAGUCCGGAAGAGGUUGGUGGAACUGCGAGUGUAGAGGUGAAAUUCGUAGAUAUUCGCAAGAACACCAGUGGCGAAGGCGGCCAACUGGUCCGGAACUGACGCUGAGGUGCGAAAGCGUGGGGAGCAAACAGG